Molecule: non-coding RNA, 108 nt
Organism: Acanthosepion pharaonis
Lineage: Eukaryota; Metazoa; Mollusca; Cephalopoda; Sepiida; Sepiidae
Source: the annotation of a GenBank genome assembly
UAUGGCCAUAUCAUAUUGAAACACCAGUUCCCAUACAAGCACUGAAGUUAAGGAACAUUAAGCCUGGACAGUACCUUAAUGGGUGACUAUUUGUGAAUAUCAGGUGCU